RNAcentral lists this unclassified non-coding RNA (390 nucleotides) under soil metagenome. Its description in RNAcentral is "partial contains 5.8S ribosomal RNA, internal transcribed spacer 2, and large subunit ribosomal RNA". The stretch from base 1 to 122 matches the Rfam family "5.8S ribosomal RNA", at positions 35 to 154 of the family's 154-position model. The record is from RNAcentral.
GAUGAAGAACGCAGUGAAAUGCGAUACUUGGUGUGAAUUGCAGAAUCCCGUGAACCAUCGAGUCUUUGAACGCAAGUUGCGCCCGAAGCCAUUAGGCCGAGGGCACGCCUGCCUGGGCGUCACACGUCGUUGCCCCCCAUCUACUCCUUCGGGAUUGCGGGGGGCGGAUGAUGGCCUCCCGUGCGCCUCGUCGCGCGGUUGGCAUAAAUGCCAAGUCCUCGGCGACGCACGCCACGACAAUCGGUGGUUGCGAAACCUCGGUUGCCCGUCGUGUGCGGUCGUCGCGCAUCGAGGGCUCGAAAAAAUUGCCGGGCUCCGGCUCGGCUUUCAACGCGACCCCAGGUCAGGCGGGGUUACCCGCUGAAUUUAAGCAUAUCAAUAAGCGGAGGA